UACGAAGGGGGCUAGCGUUGCUCGGAAUUACUGGGCGUAAAGGGCUCGUAGGCGGCCAACUAAGUCGGACGUGAAAUCCCUCGGCUUAACCGGGGAACUGCGUCCGAUACUGGAUGGCUUGAGUGUGGGAGAGGGAUGCGGAAUUCCAGGUGUAGCGGUGAAAUGCGUAGAUAUCUGGAGGAACACCGGUGGCGAAGGCGGCAUCCUGGACCACGACUGACGCUGAGGAGCGAAAGCCAGGGGAGCAAACGGG
Molecule: ribosomal RNA, 253 nt
Filed under: uncultured bacterium
Lineage: Bacteria
Description: partial 16S ribosomal RNA
Rfam family: Bacterial small subunit ribosomal RNA
Source: RNAcentral